CCUACGGGUGGCAGCAGUGGGGAAUAUUGCACAAUGGGGGAAACCCUGAUGCAGCGACGCCGCGUGGGUGAAGAAGUACUUCGUUAUGUAAAGCCCUAUCAGCAGGGAAGAAAAUGACGGUACCUGACUAAGAAGCCCCGGCUAACUACGUGCCAUCAGCCGCGGUAAUCCGUAGGGGGCCAGCGUUAUCCGGAUUUACUGGGUGUAAAGGGAGCGUAGACGGCAGUGCAAGUCUGGAGUGAAAGGCCGGGGCUCAACCCCCGGACUGCUUUGGAAACUGUAAGGCUGGAGUGCAGGAGAGGUAAGUGGAAUUCCUAGUGUAGCGGUGAAAUGCGUAGAUAUUAGGAGGAACACCAGUGGCGAAGGCGGCUUGCUGGACGGUAACUGACGUUGAGGCUCGAAAGCGUGGGGAGCAAACAGGAUUAGAUACCCUUGUAGUC
This 440-nucleotide ribosomal RNA is filed under the name uncultured bacterium. Its description in RNAcentral is "partial 16S ribosomal RNA". It matches the Rfam family "Bacterial small subunit ribosomal RNA", at positions 338 to 795 of the family's 1533-position model. The record is from RNAcentral.